RNAcentral lists this long non-coding RNA (1162 nucleotides) under Canis lupus familiaris (dog). RNAcentral's name for it is "lncRNA (ENSCAFG00000052521.1, ENSCAFG00805016015.1)". Lineage: Eukaryota; Metazoa; Chordata; Mammalia; Carnivora; Canidae. The record is from RNAcentral.
AGCCUACUACGUGCAGAGGCUUGUCCGAGGGGCCGGGAAUGGAGAGCGGGGCCAUGAGGGACACGGGUCCCCGAAGAGAGAAGAAAGACCAGUCUAUUGCAGAGCAACGCCAAGGGCCGAGACAGAAGUGGUACUUGCCCUACAGGGUCUUUCUACUGCCUCUCCUUCCUCCUGUUGUAAAUUCAAAUUUCCAGGAAAUCCAAAAGGAUACAGUGAGCCAACAGCUACUUUGUCUCCUCCAAGGGAAAACAAAUUGGUUUCCAUCACUGGCCAGCAGAGCCAGUUUACAGGACCAGGAUGAUAUCCAUAGUGUGCAUCUCUACAACCACCGCAGAACACCUCUCACUAAUUUUCACAAGGAUCCUCAACUUUUUCUUUCAUUUUCCAUUUGAUCUCCUGGAUGAUGCUUCUGUUUGAAAAUAUAGGUAAAAAUAUUAAGCAUUAAUCCAUCUAUUAAAUAUUUACUAUGUACUAGGCACCAUGCUAAACAUUUUAUUUAAACAUAGCAAUAGUAACAAACACCUGCAAUUAAUCACACUCUCUUAGGGAAGUGGAAGAAGGAAGACCACACUGUCACCUACUAGAUUUGGUUAGCAACUGUGUCAUAUUCCUAUGGUAUCUGUAUAAUACUUUACUUUGAACACUUUAUGGUAUACACUUAAUACAUUUUGAAUGUAUGUUUCUCUUAUAUUUUCCAUUUAUUUUAAAAGGGACCUCCAUUCUGUAAACUGACCUGGUUCAAAUAAAAUUGAAAGACAUUUUUUAUCGUUAUCUUUUGUCACCCAGCAUCAGCAUCAUUACAUUCAAUCUAGUUCAGUUUACUUUACCUCUGAAAUGCCUUAAUUCUCAUCACUUUUCUGACAGAGAUGAGUAGUUGCUCCUUUGUUUCUGCUUCCCCCUUGCUUCUCAGUAACAGUCCUUGAUUUUUAACUGAACAUUUGUCCAUUAAAAAGACUGCUUUCCCAGCCUUCUUGUGGUUAGAUGUGACUAUGCAGCCAAGUUCUCACCAGUAAGCUGAGUUCAAGUGUUAUUUGAGGAAAGCGCCCUUAACAGGUAUGAACAGACCCUUUUGCUUCCUUCCUUCCCCUUUCCACUGCUUUGAACGUGGACACUAUGCCUGGAACUCAAACAGCCAGCUUAGUACAUAUAAAUAAAUAUAUCC